CGUCUCUUGCCAAACACAUAUAAGAGAUAAUGCCUGCCCAGUGAUAACUUAAACGGCCGCGUUAGCGUGAGCGUGCUAAGGUAGCGUAAUAAACAGCUUUUUAAUUAAAGGCCAGUGAAAGGCAACACGGAAAAUUGCUAUAUCUUACAUGACCAAAAAAUUUUACUUUUAAGUGAAAAGGCUUAAAUAACAAAAAAAGACGAAAAGACCCCGCGGAGCUUUACUUUAAAACUUAAACAUUUAAACAAGUUACCGUUCAAAGUUUGGUUGGGGCAACCCUGGAACAAUGUAAUCUUCCAGUUUUCUAAGUAAUUUAUACAAAACCUAUUAUGGACCGAAAAGAAGCUACCCCGGGGAUAACAGCGUAAUCCAACUUGAAAGUACACAUCGAAAGUUGGGUUUGCGACCUCGAUGUUGGCUUAGGGUAAUCCACAAGGCGCAGCCGCUUUAAUGGGAUAGUCUGUUCGACUAUUAUAACCCUACA
Molecule: ribosomal RNA, 484 nt
Filed under: Velesunio ambiguus
Lineage: Eukaryota; Metazoa; Mollusca; Bivalvia; Unionida; Hyriidae
Description: partial 16S ribosomal RNA
Rfam family: Bacterial large subunit ribosomal RNA
Source: RNAcentral